UACGUAGGGUGCAAGCGUUAAUCGGAAUUACUGGGCGUAAAGCGUGCGCAGGCGGCUAUUUAAGCUUGCUGUGAAAGCCCCGGGCUUAACCUGGGAACUGCAGUGAGGACUGGAUGGCUGGAGUGUGGCAGAGGGGGGUGGAAUUCCACGUGUAGCAGUGAAAUGCGUAGAGAUCGGAAGGAACGCCCGUGGCGAAAGCGAGCCCCUGGACGUCUGCUGACGCUGAGGCGCGAAAGCUAGGGGAGCGAACGGG
Molecule: ribosomal RNA, 253 nt
Filed under: uncultured bacterium
Lineage: Bacteria
Description: partial 16S ribosomal RNA
Rfam family: Bacterial small subunit ribosomal RNA
Source: RNAcentral